RNAcentral lists this transfer RNA (63 nucleotides) under Rattus norvegicus (Norway rat). It matches the Rfam family "tRNA". From Rfam's summary of the family: Transfer RNA (tRNA) molecules are approximately 80 nucleotides in length. Their secondary structure includes four short double-helical elements and three loops (D, anti-codon, and T loops). Lineage: Eukaryota; Metazoa; Chordata; Mammalia; Rodentia; Muridae. The record is from Rfam by way of RNAcentral.
GGGGAUUUAGCUCAGUGUUAGAGCACUUGCCUUGCAAGCACAAGGCCCUGGAUUCAGUCCUCA